UGAACCCGUCGGUUUUGUUUAAGCGCGCGCAGUUCAUCCCGUGCAUGCUGUCAGUGUCAGCUGUGCAGAUCGGAUGUCAGUCAGUUUAGCGCUACAAAACGAAAGUAAGUUUUAGUUUUCAUGUUUGCUGCGUGAUUUGAACGUGAUUUGCUAGUGUUUACACAUAAUAUGGAUGGAAACACGCAACUGCUCCGAAUCAAGAAAAGAUCACUGCAUUUCUACUGUAAGCAAUGCAAGCUGCGUGUAUGUACAAGCAUCGAAGAUGGAUAGCAGGAUACAUGCGUGAUGCACUGCAGUAUAUUUUAGGCCUAUACAGUGUGUAUCGGUGACAUUUCUCCUUUGGGUGAAACAUGAUUGAAUUAUUGGAUGGACAAAGUGACGCUGACAGCGUGUUGAGUUUAUGCAAGCUUUCCUUCCAUAUCUUCAUGAUUUAUGAUUGAUGGUCAUACUCGUAAGUGUCCAGUUGAAAGUGUAAUAAUGCAUUCAUGAUUAUUAUGUAGGCCCAUGCACCAGCAGUCGCAACAGAACAUCAUUACUGACAAUAGACAUGAUAUGCCUUAGUGCAUGUCAGUUGUCACAGAGAGUAGGCCUAUGUCAUAUGAGAUGACAUGUGUGGGAUUCCAGAUGCAUGGCAUGUACCACAGAGGGUUAGGAACCAUUGCUCAAAUAAUGUUUUCACAAUCACAGCAAUGAAUGAAUGAUGUCACUGCCAUUGAUGCAAACAAUGGCUCAAGAGACUUGUCAUUCUCAAUACCUGACCCAUCACUGCAAAAUGGGUCGCAUGUCGCACAGAAGAUGAGCCUAAAAUGACACCAGGACAUAUUAUUAAUACAAGAAAUUGAUACACUCAGAUUUCACAAAAGGCAGACUAUAGUGAAAUGAACAACCAGUCUUUCUCAACUUGUCAAGCUCGAAGUGAAGUGCGACUCGUUUUGCUGUUAGUGGGUCACAAAUGGUUUUGUGUUAAAAAACUCUUUAAUAUUUUCUGAUCUUUUUUGCAGUGUCCGAUAGUUCUGACCUAGGUGAUUUUGGGAGUAACCUGAAAAAGGCUAUUGCGAGUGUUCCAUCCCAGCAGGUACAUGUACAAGUAGCCAGACCGAGGCCAAUAGCCAGACCAUGACUGAGAAUGCCACAUUGAAAUAAUGAGUCAUCACACUCACAGUCUAGGUCCUGAACACCAGCAGCGCAUCUGGUAGUGGUCUGUAAUUAUUUCGACCUCGGUCAUCAAUACCAGCAGCCUCUGGUAGUCGACUUGGGUCAUCGCACCAGCAGCCUCUGGCAGUCAACUUGGCCUUGGGUUAUCAACACCAGCAGCCUCUG
Molecule: long non-coding RNA, 1320 nt
Organism: Lineus longissimus
Lineage: Eukaryota; Metazoa; Nemertea; Pilidiophora; Heteronemertea; Lineidae
Exons: 4
Source: RefSeq, a predicted model, not a curated record